CGGAUCUCGAAAGCCUGUCCCAGUUCGGACUGGAGUCUGCAACCCGACUCCACGAAGUUGGAUUCGCUAGUAAUCGCGCAUCAGCCAUGGCGCGGUGAAUACGUUCCCGGGCCUUGUACACACCGCCCGUCAAGCCAUGGGAGCCGGGGGCGCCUGAAGUCCGGGACCGCGAGGACCGGCCUAGGGCGAAACUGGUAACUGGGGCUAAGUCGUAACAAGGUAAC
This 224-nucleotide ribosomal RNA is filed under the name uncultured bacterium. RNAcentral describes it as "partial 16S ribosomal RNA". It matches the Rfam family "Bacterial small subunit ribosomal RNA", at positions 1268 to 1500 of the family's 1533-position model. The record is from RNAcentral.